AUAAGCAACAAAUUUGAAGAAAUUUUAAUGACGAUAUUUACUGAAAACUUGAACAACAUUGUAGAUCACCCUGUGAUGGCCCACAGAAUGUCUGCUCGGCAGAUGGCUAGAUAAUUGAAAAAAAGUCGUUAAUUUUCUCCACAUUAUAAAUUCUGUGGUAGUCGCUGGGUUUGUCAUUCGUACCCACACGAUCUAACAGUAUUCAGAUCACCCAAGUCUUAUUGAAGUAAAUCAUACCGAGGAUACCGUCAUGUAUUCCCUACUGAUGCUGACACUUGUUUCUGCUCUUGUUUACGAGACGACAGCCAUCGGUCAGUGCCCGUUCUGCGAGUCCGGUUACGCCCACUGCCUGGAAUUCUUUGGCUGCUCCAACAGAAGCAAUGAUGCCGACAAAUGCUACAACUACUGUGAUAAAAGGUUUGAGGUGUGUGAGAAAACCACAGGUUGUAAGCGGCAACCGCCACCAAGCAUUGAAGACUACAACAAAUUCCCAGGACUCUGAUGGAAAAGGCGAAGCAAAAUAUGUUACGUUAACAGUCAUGAAAUAAAUUUGUAUUUCAAUAUUGUCAAA
This is a long non-coding RNA of Ostrea edulis (European flat oyster), 571 nucleotides long. RefSeq lists it as uncharacterized. The transcript has 2 exons. Lineage: Eukaryota; Metazoa; Mollusca; Bivalvia; Ostreida; Ostreidae. The record is from RefSeq and is a predicted model, not a curated record.